RNAcentral lists this ribosomal RNA (250 nucleotides) under uncultured bacterium. RNAcentral's name for it is "partial 16S ribosomal RNA". It matches the Rfam family "Bacterial small subunit ribosomal RNA", at positions 62 to 339 of the family's 1533-position model. The record is from RNAcentral.
UCGAACGCAGUAGCAAUACUGAGUGGCAGACGGGUGAGUAUAAUGUGGGAAUCUGCCUUUUGGUUCGGAAUAACACGAGGAAACUUGUGCUAAUACCGGAUAAGUCUUUACGGAGAAAGCUUUAUGCACCAUUGGAUGAGCCCGCACUUGAUUAGCUAGUUGGUAAGGUAAUGGCUUACCAAGGCAACGAUCAAUAGCUGUUCUUAGAGGAAGACCAGCCACAUUGGGACUGAGACACGGCCCAAACUCC